Long non-coding RNA from Tupaia belangeri chinensis (Chinese tree shrew), 1311 nucleotides. RefSeq lists it as uncharacterized. The transcript has 3 exons. NCBI's taxonomy places the organism in Eukaryota, Metazoa, Chordata, Mammalia, Scandentia, Tupaiidae. The record is from RefSeq and is a predicted model, not a curated record.
GCUCACAGCGAGUGUCGUGUGCUUCACAUGCACUCAUUUAGUCCUCACCACCUUCGGGGGUAGAUAGAGACGGGUUUAGUUCUAUAAAUUGCCUGAGGCGCCAGGUAAAUGGCCGAAUGGGGAGUCAAACCCAUGGCCCUUUACUCGGAAGUCAGAGGGAUUCAGAGUGCCUAUGAGGUCCCUUAGUAAACCAGCCAGUUUCCCAAGCUCGGACAAUUGGAGGAACUCGGGUGAGUUGUAAAUAGCUUUAGAGUAGGAGGCAGGCCCGCUCUCGGGAGAUCCGUGCGGAAAUGUUUCCGUAGGAGGUGGAGGGAACCCGGGAGCUUCCAAGGAGAUGGCGCUCUUCCCUGAUGGCUUCCGAGGGAGAGGGACCGUGCAGCACCAGCCGGCCAGGCGCACAGUCUGUCAGUACAGACUCUCAUUUACAGCCCCGAAGGACAUUCUCAGUUAAGGAUCCAGAAGCUCUGAAGACGCUGGUCAAGUGAAAUCACACCCUAUAACUCUACCAGGCAUGUGGCAUGGUUUCUGUAGCUGCCAGCCAUAAAACCAAGAGAAACUUUACAAAAACCUAUUGUGCAUCUGGAAAGGAGGAAGUGUGAGAGACAUUGGGAAUUCAGUGUGUCAGACAGAGCAGGCUCCUGACACGGGGGACAGUGGACCAGUCACAGCCUUUUCGAAGCAUCCCUGGAAGAGUUGGCGUGUGCGGUGGCAGUGUGGGUCAGACAUUAUGUACGGUCUUUGGUAUUUUAGGAGCACUGCGUGUGCCCUUUAGCUUUCUGAAAUAGCUUUCUGUUAGUGGACAGCUUUCAUCCUUGCACUAGGCGACAUAUCAGCUGCCAUCGCUGUCGCUGUCGGAACCGCGCUCACGUGCCGAGGAUAGGAGCAGCUUCUCAGACGUGAGCUGGGUGCGAAUCGAGUCUACUCCUAGUCUGAUUUUGUCAAAUUGUGGUUGAGCGGCAGACACGACUCUGGCGUGGACACGAGUUUUCUGCAAACAUCAGUGAAGGCGUUCUGUGAGAAUCAAUGAGCCCCAUGGCCUUUGCAGCGGAGAGGAGUGUCACUUGUCCAUUCUUGGAUUCUAGGGCCGCUCUCAGAUGCCUCCCCUGAUGUGUCCUCCCUGGGCUGGGAACGCCCCAGGGUAGCCACAGGUGUUUAACCCCUGCCGCAGUCUGCUCCAGCCUUGUCCCCAGCUUCCCGUCACCCCCUCAGCCGCGCUCUGGCCCGGGAGCCAACGCCACACACAGCCGGUUCUUGUGCUGCCCUUGAGCUGAGAAUGGUUUUGACAUUUUUCAAUGGCUGAAUAAAAAUGAA